GCGUGGAUGAUGUGGAUUAAUUCGAUGCAACGCGAAAACCUUACCUACCCUUGACAUGUUCAGAAGUCUUGAGAGAUUGAGAUGUGCCCGAAAGGGAACUGGAACACAGGUGCUGCAUGGCUGUCGUCAGCUCGUGUCGUGAGAUGUUGGGUUAAGUCCCGCAACGAGCGCAACCCUUGUCGUUAAUUGCCAUCAUUUAGUUGGGCACUUUAACGAGACUGCCGGUGACAAACCGGAGGAAGGUGGGGAUGACGUCAAGUCCUCAUGGCCCUUAUGGGUAGGGCUUCACACGUCAUACAAUGGUCGGUACAAAGGGUUGCCAAGCCGCGAGGUGGAGCCAAUCCCAGAAAGCCGAUCGUAGUCCGGAUUGCAGGCUGCAACUCGCCUGCAUGAAGUCGGAAUCGCUAGUAAUCGUGGAUCAGCAUGUCACGGUGAAUACGUUCCCGGGUCUU
RNAcentral lists this ribosomal RNA (452 nucleotides) under uncultured Dechloromonas sp. RNAcentral describes it as "bacterial SSU rRNA". It matches the Rfam family "Bacterial small subunit ribosomal RNA", at positions 929 to 1382 of the family's 1533-position model. The record is from RNAcentral. Lineage: Bacteria; Pseudomonadati; Pseudomonadota; Betaproteobacteria; Rhodocyclales; Azonexaceae.